RNAcentral lists this ribosomal RNA (253 nucleotides) under uncultured bacterium. RNAcentral's name for it is "partial 16S ribosomal RNA". It matches the Rfam family "Bacterial small subunit ribosomal RNA", at positions 524 to 776 of the family's 1533-position model. The record is from RNAcentral.
UACGUAGGGUGCAAGCGUUGUCCGGAAUUAUUGGGCGUAAAGAGCUCGUAGGCGGUCUGUCACGUCGGCUGUGAAAACCCGAGGCUCAACCUCGGGCCUGCAGUCGAUACGGGCAAACUAGAGUACUGCAGGGGAGACUGGAAUUCCUGGUGUAGCGGUGAAAUGCGCAGAUAUCAGGAGGAACACCGGUGGCGAAGGCGGGUCUCUGGGCAGUAACUGACGCUGGGGAGCGAAAGCGUGGGGAGCGAACAGG